UCCCUGGUGGUCCACUGGGUAAGACACCAAGCUGCUACUGCAGGGGACCUGGGUUCAAUUCCUAGUCAGGGAA
Molecule: transfer RNA, 73 nt
Filed under: Capra hircus (goat)
Lineage: Eukaryota; Metazoa; Chordata; Mammalia; Artiodactyla; Bovidae
Also listed under: 1 other name
Rfam family: tRNA
About the family: Transfer RNA (tRNA) molecules are approximately 80 nucleotides in length. Their secondary structure includes four short double-helical elements and three loops (D, anti-codon, and T loops).
Source: Rfam by way of RNAcentral